RNAcentral lists this ribosomal RNA (264 nucleotides) under uncultured bacterium. Its description in RNAcentral is "partial 16S ribosomal RNA". It matches the Rfam family "Bacterial small subunit ribosomal RNA", at positions 793 to 1055 of the family's 1533-position model. The record is from RNAcentral.
GUCCACGCCCUAAACGAUGUCAACUAGUUGUCGGGGAAGCAAUUCCUUGGUAACGCAGCUAACGCGUGAAGUUGACCGCCUGGGGAGUACGGUCGCAAGAUUAAAACUCAAAGGAAUUGACGGGGACCCGCACAAGCGGUGGAUGAUGUGGAUUAAUUCGAUGCAACGCGAAAAACCUUACCUACCCUUGACAUGUCCAGAAUCCCGCUGAAAGGUGGGAGUGCCCGAAAGGGAAUUGGAACACAGGUGCUGCAUGGCUGUCGU